UACAGAGCCACAGUUCCACAAACACUGGUUUGAACCGAUUGAAUUUCUAGGAUUAUCCGGUUCUUCCCAACGACAGAUCAACACGCUUCGUGGUCCUUUGCAAAAACCCUUCUCUCUCCUGAGUUUCGGGUUUCGUUUGAAUCGAAAGUGAAAGGUCACGUAUACAAAACAAGCUUGAUUGGUAUCAUCAUUUUGUUUUUAACAUUUUCUAUCAUCGAGGGAAGUUGCUCUUCGACAUCUGUUCAAGAUCUAGGGUUCUUGUCCUUUCUGAGACGCUUAUGACGCUGACGCCGGGGAGACGGCAAGAGAGGAAGCCGCUGGGCGUUUCACUUUCAGAAGAGAGAAGAUAGUAGCCAUGGAGAGCUGUUCUACUAGGACUCAUUAGCGAUGUGUGUCCUAGAACAAACUCCAAGGGCUUCAAAACAUUCUUUGUAGCCAGCGACAGAGCACAUUAAUACUAUUAGAUCCCAUGCUGUUUAAGAAAAAUAUGCUAUUUUCAGUUCUUCUUCGUUAUUUCUGACCCUUGUUUGGGUUAUUGAGAAAGUUUAUGGGAAUUAUUCGAAUCUUGGAGCUGGGUUUUGGAGGGUAAAAUUGAGAUUUGUUAAUUGUGGUUUCAAUCUUCUUGGUUAAUCAGGUUGAUCUAGUAGACUUAAUUCAUUGAUUGGUCUGGAGUUGAAUGCCUCAAUCAAAACUCCAGCCACUCUCUUCCCAAUGCUCUCAAACAGGGAUAUAGAGAAGAUGCUGGUUUGAAUCUAGAGAGCGAUGCAGAUGAGCAGCUGUUGAUCUAUAUACCUUUCACUCAAGUUGUUAAACGGUACUCUGUUGUUGUCCAGGGACCUGAAGAAGAAGGAGAUGUUGCCAUGGCUGAUGCCUGCACAAGUUCAAUCAAGGGCUCGCCAAGUGCAAGGGGAUCAAGUUUUAUUGAGGGGAUCUCUAAAUCUUCAUAUGUAAGACAAGCAUCAGAUCUUAAAGGUUCUUUCCUAAAGUUUGCAGAAACUUGUAGAAGACCAAAAUCAUAUGAUAGCUCAAAUGCGUGAUGAACUACAGGCAGCGAAGAUGGGACAUCAGUCUUCCUCAUUGAUGCCAUCAUCAUCUGAUAUUCAUCCAGUUCAUAGAUCCCUUGGUGAUUCACAUAUGGAUUAGCAUGAUGCCAUAUCUCACUGACUUAAAUAAUAUGUUUUAUUAUAUGAAUUUUAUACUAUUUGGAUCCAUUAUGUAUUUUGAGAUAUUUUAAGUUUCUUAGUGUUGAACUAUAGUAAUGUUUUGGACUUUUAGAUGGCAGAAUUAUGAAAUGAAGUUGAUGUGUAUAUAUUGUCUUUGA
Long non-coding RNA from Manihot esculenta (cassava), 1321 nucleotides. RefSeq lists it as uncharacterized. Lineage: Eukaryota; Viridiplantae; Streptophyta; Magnoliopsida; Malpighiales; Euphorbiaceae. The transcript has 6 exons. The record is from RefSeq and is a predicted model, not a curated record.